This 68-nucleotide transfer RNA is filed under the name Staphylinoidea sp. 6 KM-2017. RNAcentral describes it as "tRNA-Ser". Lineage: Eukaryota; Metazoa; Arthropoda; Insecta; Coleoptera. The record is from RNAcentral.
AAUUAUUGAACUUGAACAAGUUUAUAUUUUGAAAAUAUAAGAUAGAAGUAAUAAUCUUCUAAUAAUUU